UAGUAACGGCGAGUGAAGAGGAAAGAGCUCAAAGUUGGAACCUGUUUGGCUUAGCUAAACCGGAUUGUAAACUGUAGAAGUGUUUUCCAGACACGCCUGGUAAAAAAGUCCUUUGGAACAGGGCAUCAUAGAGGGUGAGAAUCCCGUCAUUGGCCAGAGCUGUUGUCUUUUGUGAUACAUUUUCAAAGAGUCAGGUUGUUUGGGAAUGCAGCCUAAAUUGGGUGGUAAAUCUCACCUAAAGCUAAAUAUUUGCGAGAGACCGAUAGCGAACAAGUACCGUGAGGGAAAGAUGAAAAGAACUUUGAAAAGAGAGUUAAACAGUAUGUGAAAUUGUUAAAAGGGAACCGUUUGGAGCCAGACUGGCUUGAUCGUAAUCACUCUAGGCUUUGGCCUGGAUGCACUUGCGGUCUAUGCCGGCCAACGACAGUUUUGUUUGAGGGAAAAAAUUACAUUGAAUGUGGCCCUUCGGGGUGUUAUAGCUUUGUAAAAAAUACCUUGGACGGGACUGAGGAACGCAGCGAAUGCCUUUAGGCGAGAUUGCUGGGUGCUUGCGCUGAUACAUGCUAGAAUUUCUGCUUCGGGUGGUGCUAGUGUGUAAAGGAGUAACCCGCUUAGUAUAUUUUUUAUUCGCUUAGGUUGUUGGCUUAAUGACUCUAAAUGACCCGUCUUGAAACACGGACCAAGGAGUCCACCAUUAGUGCAAGUAUUUGGGUGACAAACCCAUAUGCGCAAGGAAACUGAUUGAUACGAAGGCGCAAGCUGGCAGUAUCACCCGGCGUUGACGUUUUAUACUGAACUGACCGAGGUAAAGCACUAAUGAUGGGACCCGAAAGAUGGUGAACUAUGCCUGAAUAGGGUGAAGCCGGAGGAAACUCCGGUGGAGGCUCGUAGCGAUUCUGACGUGCAAAUCGAUCGUCAAAUUUGGGUAUAGGGGCGAAAGACUAAUCG
This 948-nucleotide ribosomal RNA is filed under the name Mucor irregularis. RNAcentral's name for it is "eukaryotic LSU rRNA". It matches the Rfam family "Eukaryotic large subunit ribosomal RNA", at positions 81 to 937 of the family's 3401-position model. Lineage: Eukaryota; Fungi; Mucoromycota; Mucoromycetes; Mucorales; Mucoraceae. The record is from RNAcentral.